UGUAGGAGUGAGCCUGCUCGCGAUAGCGGUGUGUCAGUUGAUAUCAAUUUUGACUGACACGCCGCUAUCGCGAGCAGGCUCACUCCUACA
Molecule: unclassified non-coding RNA, 90 nt
Filed under: Pseudomonas moraviensis
Lineage: Bacteria; Pseudomonadati; Pseudomonadota; Gammaproteobacteria; Pseudomonadales; Pseudomonadaceae
Source: RNAcentral